This 403-nucleotide ribosomal RNA is filed under the name Verrucomicrobiota bacterium. Its description in RNAcentral is "Verrucomicrobia bacterium partial 16S ribosomal RNA". It matches the Rfam family "Bacterial small subunit ribosomal RNA", at positions 355 to 776 of the family's 1533-position model. The record is from RNAcentral. Lineage: Bacteria; Pseudomonadati; Verrucomicrobiota.
UGGGGAAUAUUGCACAAUGGGGGAAACCCUGAUGCAGCGACGCCGCGUGAGCGAAGAAGGUUUUCGAAUCGUAAAGCUCUGUCCUAUGAGAAGAUAAUGACGGUAUCAUAGGAGGAAGCCCCGGCUAACUACGUGCCAGCAGCCGCGGUAAUACGUAGGGGGCUAGCGUUAUCCGGAUUUACUGGGCGUAAAGGGUGCGUAGGUGGUCCUUCAAGUCGGUGGUUAAAGGCUACGGCUCAACCGUAGUAAGCCGCCGAAACUGGAGGACUUGAGUGCAGGAGAGGAAAGUGGAAUUCCCAGUGUAGCGAUGAAAUGCGUAGAUAUUGGGAGGAACACCAGUAGCGAAGGCGGCUUUCUGGACUGCAACUGACACUGAGGAACGAAAGCGUGGGUAGCAAACAGG